GCUCAGGACGAACGCUGGCGGCGUGCUUAACACAUGCAAGUCGAACGGUAAGGCCCCUUCGGGGGUACACGAGUGGCGAACGGGUGAGUAACACGUGGGUAAUCUGCCCUGCACUUCGGGAUAAGCCUGGGAAACUGGGUCUAAUACCGGAUAUGAGCUCCUGCCGCAUGGUGAGGGUUGGAAAGUUUUUCGGUGCAGGAUGAGUCCGCGGCCUAUCAGCUUGUUGGUGGGGUAAUGGCCUACCAAGGCGACGACGGGUAGCCGGCCUGAGAGGGUGAUCGGCCACACUGGGACUGAGACACGGCCCAGACUCCUACGGGAGGCAGCAGUGGGGAAUAUUGCACAAUGGGCGAAAGCCUGAUGCAGCGACGCCGCGUGGGGGAUGACGGUCUUCGGAUUGUAAACCCCUUUCAGUAGGGACGAAGCGCAAGUGACGGUACCUGCAGAAGAAGCACCGGCCAACUACGUG
Molecule: ribosomal RNA, 469 nt
Filed under: uncultured bacterium
Lineage: Bacteria
Description: bacterial SSU rRNA
Rfam family: Bacterial small subunit ribosomal RNA
Source: RNAcentral